UAUAUGCUACAAGUAAAAGAUUAAGCCAUGCAUGCUCGCACAACUCGAUUAUGAGUGAAGCUGCGCACGGCUCAUUAGCUACGGUUUCGUACCUUUUUCGGAUAUCCCAAGUGGGAUAACUGCGGAAAUACUGGAGCUAAUACCUGCACUUAAAACCCGACGUAAGUAGGGUUGCAAUUAUUAGGCCAAACCAAUCGUCCUCGUGACGUAUUGUGGCGACUCCAAAUAGCCCAGUCUAUCGUCGGUUCUAUCCGACGAAGGCCGAAAAGGGUUUCUGCCCUAUCAACUAGACGGUAGCCCAGUAGACUACCGUGGUUGUCACGGGUACCGGAGAAUUGGGGUUUGACUCCGGAGAGGGAGCCUUAGAAACGGCUACCACAUCCAAGGAAGGCAGCAGGCGCGAAACUUAUCCACUGUCAAAAAUGAGAUAGUGACUAAAAAUAUAAAAUCCCUCCCACAUGGGAGGGAUAUUUAAAUGAGUAGAGGUUAAAAAGCUCUUCGAGAAACUAAGAGAGGGC
Molecule: ribosomal RNA, 518 nt
Filed under: uncultured eukaryote
Lineage: Eukaryota
Description: SSU rRNA
Rfam family: Eukaryotic small subunit ribosomal RNA
Source: RNAcentral